This is a non-coding RNA of Gossypium raimondii (Peruvian cotton), 87 nucleotides long. NCBI's taxonomy places the organism in Eukaryota, Viridiplantae, Streptophyta, Magnoliopsida, Malvales, Malvaceae. The record is from Rfam.
CACGUCAGCGCGACCUGCUGACGUGUAAGGAAAUCGCUUCCUCAAGGACGCGAUUUCCUUCCACGUUAGCAGGUCGCGCUGACGUGG